RNAcentral lists this ribosomal RNA (432 nucleotides) under uncultured bacterium. RNAcentral describes it as "partial 16S ribosomal RNA". It matches the Rfam family "Bacterial small subunit ribosomal RNA", at positions 29 to 507 of the family's 1533-position model. The record is from RNAcentral.
AACGAACGCUGGCGGCAUGCCUAACACAUGCAAGUCGAACGAGACCUUCGGGUCUAGUGGCGCACGGGUGCGUAACGCGUGGGAACCUGCCCUUAGGUUCGGAAUAACUCCCCGAAAGGGGUGCUAAUACCGGAUAAUGUCUUCGGACCAAAGAUUUAUCGCCUUUGGAUGGGCCCGCGUUGGAUUAGCCAGUUGGUAGGGUAAAAGCCUACCAAGGCGACGAUCCAUAGCUGGUCUGAGAGGAUGAUCAGCCACACUGGGACUGAGACACGGCCCAGACACCACGGGACGCAAGCAGGGGGGAUUAUGGAACAAGGGGCGAAGGCUGGACACAGCAUGGCCGGGGGAGGGAAGAAGCCUUAGGGGUUGAAAAGCUCUUUUACCCGGAAUGAUAAGAAAAGUACGGGAAGAAAAAGCCCCGCCUACUUCGGG